GAUGAACGCUAGCGGUGCGUUUAAUACAUGCAAGUCGAGCGCCCCCACCCUGUCUUUGAAAUUCGAAGAUAGAGUGGGGGAGCGGCAGACGGCUGAGUAACACGUUGGAACCUGCCCGAUACUCGAGGAUAGCUCGGAGAAAUCCGGAUUAAUACUCGAUAGUUCCCUACGGGGUAAAGAUUUAUCGGUAUCGGAGGGGCCUGCGGCCUAUCAGUUUGUUGGUGAGGUAAUGGCUCACCAAGACAAUGACGGGUAGCUGGUGUGAGAGCACGACCAGCCAGAAUGGGACUGAGACACGGCCCAUACUCCUACGGGAGGCAGCAGUAAAGAAUCUUCCACAAUGGACGAAAGUCUGAUGGAGCGACACCGCGUGAGGGAUGAAGUCCUAACGGACGUAAACCUCUUUUGUGUAGGAGCAAAUUUUUGAGUUAACUACACGAAUAAGGACCGGCUAAUCACG
This 460-nucleotide ribosomal RNA is filed under the name uncultured bacterium. RNAcentral's name for it is "bacterial SSU rRNA". It matches the Rfam family "Bacterial small subunit ribosomal RNA", at positions 28 to 505 of the family's 1533-position model. The record is from RNAcentral.